GCGCCUUGCCAGCCCGCUCAGUCAGAGUUUGAUCCUGGCUCAGGAUGAACGCUGGCGGCGUGCCUAAUACAUGCAAGUCGAGCGAACGGAUAAGGAGCUUGCUCCUUUGAAGUUAGCGGCGGACGGGUGAGUAACACGUGGGUAACCUACCUAUAAGACUGGAAUAACUUCGGGAAACCGGAGCUAAUGCCGGAUAACAUAUAGAACCGCAUGGUUCUAUAGUGAAAGAUGGUUUUGCUAUCACUUAUAGAUGGACCCGCGCCGUAUUAGCUAGUUGGUAAGGUAAUGCUUACCAAGGCGACGAUACGUAGCCGACCUGAGAGGGUGAUCGGCCACACUGGAACUGAGACACGGUCCAG
RNAcentral lists this ribosomal RNA (359 nucleotides) under uncultured bacterium. Its description in RNAcentral is "bacterial SSU rRNA". It matches the Rfam family "Bacterial small subunit ribosomal RNA", at positions 1 to 334 of the family's 1533-position model. The record is from RNAcentral.